RNAcentral lists this ribosomal RNA (488 nucleotides) under uncultured bacterium. RNAcentral describes it as "bacterial SSU rRNA". It matches the Rfam family "Bacterial small subunit ribosomal RNA", at positions 29 to 510 of the family's 1533-position model. The record is from RNAcentral.
AUUGAACGCUGGCGGCGUGCCUAACACAUGCAAGUCGAGCGGUAACAGGUGUAGCAAUACAUGCUGACGAGCGGCGGACGGGUGAGUAACGCUUGGGAAUCUGCCUAUUAGUGGGGGACAACCCGGGGAAACUCGGGCUAAUACCGCAUACGCACUACGGUGGAAAGCCGGGGACCGCAAGGCCUGGCGCUAACAGAUGAGCCCAAGUCGGAUUAGCUAGUUGGUAGGGUAACGGCCUACCAAGGCGACGAUCCGUAACUGGUCUGAGAGGACGACCAGUCACACCGGAACUGAGACACGGUCCGGACUCCUACGGGAGGCAGCAGUGGGGAAUAUUGGACAAUGGGCGAAAGCCUGAUCCAGCGACGCCGCGUGGGUGAAGAAGGCCUGCGGGUUGUAAAGCCCUUUCAGUGGGGAAGAAAAGCCUCGAGCUAAUAUCUCGGGUCUUGACGUAACCCAUAGAAGAAGCAUCGGCUAACUCUGUGCCA